Molecule: ribosomal RNA, 334 nt
Filed under: uncultured Coriobacteriales bacterium
Lineage: Bacteria; Bacillati; Actinomycetota; Coriobacteriia; Coriobacteriales
Description: bacterial SSU rRNA
Rfam family: Bacterial small subunit ribosomal RNA
Source: RNAcentral
AGUAGUUUGAUCAUGGCUCGAGGACGAACGCUGGCGGCGUGCCUAACACAUGCAAGUCGAACGGGGGUUUUGCUUCGGUAGAACCCUAGUGGCGAACGGGUGAGUAACGCGUAGGCAACCUGCCCUUCAGACGGGGACAAGAUACCGAAAGGUGUUCUAAUACCGCAUAAGACCACAACGUCACAUGGCGAAGGGGUCAAAGGAGCAAUCCGGUGAAGGGUGGGCUCGCGUCCGAUUAGAUAGUUGGUGAGGUAACGGCCCACCAAGUCGACGAUCGGUAGCCGACCUGAGAGGGUGAUCGGCCACAUUGGGACUGAGACACGGCCCAGACUCC